Molecule: long non-coding RNA, 784 nt
Organism: Patiria miniata (bat star)
Lineage: Eukaryota; Metazoa; Echinodermata; Asteroidea; Valvatida; Asterinidae
Exons: 3
Source: RefSeq, a predicted model, not a curated record
CAUGCUGCACACAAACUCAACCAGGAUUUUGAUUUCGAUGAAAACCUCAAUUCAAGGACAGUACAACAAGCAGAACUUCCGUUGGAGGCCUAAAGGAUGAACGUCAGGAAAAGGGAGAUGUUCUGCGACUGACUGUUCAACCCCGAUCAACAAGAAUGUCCCAGCUUGCUGAACUGUUGGAAUCAUGAAAUGAUUUAGAAGCCGAAGGAACUGGCCGUGGAUCUUUAUAUCGAACUGAUAAGUUGACAUAUCGGCUUAGAAGAGAAUAUCCACAGAUCUCUUUCCUUGAUAUAUGCGACAUCAUCUACACCGCUACUUUAUCUGCUGGAGGUGUGGUUGAAUCUCUGGGGACUUCAGAGGAGGAUUCAAAACUAAAACUUUGGCUUAGAAAGCAAGACAUACGCUCCAUCCUGUUGUUAUGCCAUUACUGCACAAGAUUUGAUGAGAACUUUGAUGUAGUGAUAACAUUUACUUGAAGUUGUAUCAGCACGACUAGUUAGCAUUUGACAUUAUAAUGAAAAUAAUGAGUAACUCUAGAUUUCAAAACUACAUAAUUGUAUCCUUCUGUUCAUUAGUGUUGGUUUUAUUCAUUUCAAUUCUUUUCAAUUAUUAAAAAUUAGUUCCAGUAAAAAAAGGCAAAUUCUGUGAAUUUUAACAGUGAGACUAGCCACAUAUGACAAGCCAAAUCACUCUCUUUAAUGUGUAAGCAUACAAAAUAGCAUGAGUUAUGGUUUUGUUUUCUUUUUAUUGAUAUACAUGCAAACAUUUAUACGUGCUAAUCAAU